AGUGAACGCUGGCGGUAGGCCUAACACUUGCAAGUCGAACGGCAGCACAGUAAGAGCUUGCUCUUACGGGUGGCGAGUGGCGGACGGGUGAGGAAUACAUCGGAAUCUACUUUUUCGUGGGGGAUAACGUAGGGAAACUUACGCUAAUACCGCAUACGACCUACGGGUGAAAGCAGGGGAUCUUCGGACCUUGCGCGAUUGAAUGAGCCGAUGUCGGAUUAGCUAGUUGGCGGGGUAAAGGCCCACCAAGGCGGCGAUCCGUAGCUGGUCUGAGAGGAUGAUCAGCGACACGGGAAGUGAGACACGGUCCAGACUCCUACGGGAGGCAGCAGUGGGGAAUAUUGGACAAUGGGGGAAAGCCUGAUCCAGCCAUACCGCGUGGGUGAAGAAGGCCUUCGGGUUGUAAAGCCCUUUUGUUGGGAAAGAAAAGCAGCAGGUUAAUACCCCGCUGUUCUGACGGUACCCAAAGAAUAAGCACCGGCUAACUUCGUG
RNAcentral lists this ribosomal RNA (492 nucleotides) under uncultured bacterium. RNAcentral's name for it is "partial 16S ribosomal RNA". It matches the Rfam family "Bacterial small subunit ribosomal RNA", at positions 29 to 507 of the family's 1533-position model. The record is from RNAcentral.